CCUUAGUGUGUGAAGAGGACUCUCCAUUUACUUGAACAAAUUGGAGUCUAUUAGAUAGAUAUUUUUGUCAUGUACAUGCUCAAAGCAGCAGGAGAGACAGAGGAACAGAUGAAUAAGAUAUACAAUAUAUACAAUAAGAAUAGUAGUAUACAGUAAUAUACAGUAGGAUAGUGCAAGACAUCGUAUCAAAUAACUCUAAUGCACAAAGAUUCCCCCCACACACACUCUGCAGCACUGACCUCUGACUUGAAGUUUCACUUCUUGUUUCUUCUUUAGCAUACAGGAACUGCUGUAGACGGUGCAGGUGUAGGUGUUUGUGUCCCAGUCUGUGGGGUAUUUCAGUUUCAGACUGAGGUCUCCAGUUUUCAGCAGGUCUUCAUUCAUCUCUGUAAUCCUGGUGCUGUUCUUCAGGCUGGUCAGAGCCGUUCUUAUACACAUGGACCUUCUUCUUGUUCUCCGUCCACUCCACUUUAGGGUCUUUUUUUUUUUUAAUCAGACGAACUCUGAUUUUGAAAGGCAGCUGGACAGACUCCACCCCUGAAUCCACCUCCACCUGGGGGACUGAGAGGACAACCAAGCACAACAUGAGCUGAACAGGCAGCAGAAGCUUUUUCUUCCUCAUCAGUUGGAGGUAAAUUGCAGCAGACCCUUUCUGCAUUUUGGAUUGGAGUGGAGAAAUUUUACCCACUGCUAGGUCUCCCUCCUUGUUGUAGACGGUGCAGGUGUAGGUGCCUCUGUCCUUGUUUGUGGGGUGUUUCAGGGCCAGACUGAGGUCUCCAGUUUCUAGCAGGUUCAUCUCUGUUCGCUUCCUGUAUGCUGGGCUUUGGUCUUCAAUCCUAUCACAACCAUUCUGGUGCACAUGGACUUUGUUGUUGUAUCUGUCCUUCCAUUCCACUUUAGCAUCUUCAGGUAUAUUUUUUGCUUUGGUUUUGAAAGGCAGCUUUACAGACUCCACCCCUGACUCCACCUGCACCUGACAGUCUGAUGGGACAACAAACAACAUGAACUGUACAAACAGCAGCAGCAAGUUUUAAAGAAAGCUGAAGGACAGCAAUUCUUUCAACUUCUGGACCUUUGAGUGACACUUAAGGAGCCACCAGGGGACACUUGUUAACCACUAGUGUGUCUGACACGAGAGACUCACCUGACAUGAAAUAGUGUCGAAAUCUAUAUGUGAGACCCCCAAAAAACACAAGAACAAGAAGAACUACGACAGCUGUG
Molecule: long non-coding RNA, 1221 nt
Organism: Oreochromis aureus
Lineage: Eukaryota; Metazoa; Chordata; Actinopteri; Cichliformes; Cichlidae
Source: Ensembl